This 495-nucleotide ribosomal RNA is filed under the name uncultured bacterium. RNAcentral's name for it is "partial 16S ribosomal RNA". It matches the Rfam family "Bacterial small subunit ribosomal RNA", at positions 28 to 507 of the family's 1533-position model. The record is from RNAcentral.
GACGAACGCUGGCGGCGUGCCUAAUACAUGCAAGUAGAACGCUGAAGGUGGAGCUUGCUUCUCUGGAUGAGUUGCGAACGGGUGAGUAACGCGUAGGUAACCUGCCUGGUAGCGGGGGAUAACUAUUGGAAACGAUAGCUAAUACCGCAUAAUAGCAGUUGUUGCAUGACCACUGUUUGAAAGGUGCAUUUGCUCCACUACCACAUGGACCUGCGUUGUAUUAGCUAGUUGGUGGGGUAACGGCUCACCAAGGCGACGAUACAUAGCCGACCUGAGAGGGGGGUAGGCCACACUGGGACUGAGACACGGCCCAGACUCCUACGGGAGGCAGCAGUAGGGAAUCGUCGGCAAUGGACGGAAGUCUGACCGAGAAACGCCGCGUCAGUGAAGAAGGUUUUCGGAUCGUAAAGCUCUGUUGUAAGAGAAGAACGAGUGUGAGAGUGGAAAGUUCACAAUGUGACGGUAUCUUACCAGAAAGGGACGGCUAACUACGUG